Molecule: ribosomal RNA, 357 nt
Filed under: Triticum aestivum (bread wheat)
Lineage: Eukaryota; Viridiplantae; Streptophyta; Magnoliopsida; Poales; Poaceae
Description: partial small subunit ribosomal RNA
Source: RNAcentral
AUGUGUGGACAGUUAGUGGAGUCCCCUGGCGGCGACACUUGCAUUCUGACUUACGGAUACCACGAAGAACUUGGCAAGAUGGGAUUUGAUGAGAGAAAUCACCGAGUGGUACCACACUUAUCUAGCUUCUAUAUGCUUCAAGAGUUUUCAUGUUGCUUCUGCUCUGAUGCUUGUCUCCAUAUCCAUCCUGCAUUAUUUGGACAUGUACUGCAGCUUCAUCCGGGACUGCUAGGGGUUCAAUGGAAACAACCUCGGGAAUCAUGGUUCGUUGCUGGGAUGCUAUUGCUGGCUUCUGUUGGAGGAAUCUUCUUCGCGCCCUUCUUGAGCAAUAUGAAAAGAGAUUGCUUCUCCACUUGA